GACAGAGGGUGCAAACGUUGUUCGGAAUUACUGGGCGUAAAGCGAGUGUAGGCGGUCUUCUAAGUCGGAUGUGAAAGCCCCGGGCUCAACCCGGGAAGUGCACUCGAAACUGGAAGGCUAGAGUAUCGGAGAGGUUGGUGGAAUUCUCGGUGUAGAGGUGAAAUUCGUAGAUAUCGAGAGGAACACCGGUGGCGAAGGCGGCCAACUGGACGAAUACUGACGCUGAGACUCGAAAGCGUGGGGAGCGAACAGG
Molecule: ribosomal RNA, 253 nt
Filed under: uncultured bacterium
Lineage: Bacteria
Description: partial 16S ribosomal RNA
Rfam family: Bacterial small subunit ribosomal RNA
Source: RNAcentral